Molecule: ribosomal RNA, 269 nt
Filed under: uncultured prokaryote
Description: partial 16S ribosomal RNA
Rfam family: Bacterial small subunit ribosomal RNA
Source: RNAcentral
UACGGAGGGUGCAAGCGUUAUCCGGAAUUAUUGGGUUUAAAGGGUCCGUAGGCGGACCUUUAAGUCAGUGGUGAAAUCCUUCGGCUCAACCGGAGAACUGCCAUUGAAACUGAAGGUCUUGAAUAUAGUUGAAGUGGGCGGAAUAUGGCAUGUAGCGGUGAAAUGCUUAGAUAUGCCAUAGAACACCGAUAGCGAAGGCAGCUCACUAAGUUAUUAUUGACGCUAAGGGACGAAAGCGUGGGGAGCGAACAGGAUUAGAUACCCCCGUA